Molecule: ribosomal RNA, 439 nt
Filed under: uncultured bacterium
Lineage: Bacteria
Description: partial 16S ribosomal RNA
Rfam family: Bacterial small subunit ribosomal RNA
Source: RNAcentral
CUACGGGGGGCAGCAGUGGGGAAUCUUAGACAAUGGGGGAAACCCUGAUCUAGCCAUGCCGCGUGAGCGACGACGGCCCUAGGGUUGUAAAGCUCUUUCAGCAGGGAAGAUAAUGACGGUACCUGCAGAAGAAGUCCCGGCUAACUCCGUGCCAGCAGCCGCGGUAAUACGGAGGGGACUAGCGUUGUUCGGAAUUACUGGGCGUAAAGCGCGCGUAGGCGGAGUGUUAAGUCGGGGGUGAAAUCCCGGGGCUCAACCCCGGAACUGCCCUCGAUACUGGCAGUCUUGAGUUCGAGAGAGGUGAGUGGAAUUCCGAGUGUAGAGGUGAAAUUCGUAGAUAUUCGGAGGAACACCAGUGGCGAAGGCGGCUCACUGGCUCGAUACUGACGCUGAGGUGCGAAAGCGUGGGGAGCAAACAGGAUUAGAUACCCUCGUAGUC